UCCAGGGGGUGACCAGAAGGGCUCCGUAAUAUAACAAUCUCUGUUGCAACAUAAUACUUUUUUUCUGAACAGUUAACCUUGCACAUGAUAUUUAAAUAGUAAUGUUUAAUUUUUCUUUCUUUUGCUCUUUUGAAAACAUUUAACUGCUUUAGCUAAACCUCAGCCAAAUUCCUGGUUUUGCUGGGCAACAGCACCUAUUUCAUACAAUUUUGUUAUAGCGAACCCAAAGGCUCUUUUCAGAGCCAUCCACAUUGCGUCACUGAUUGGACAUCUAAUUCAUCUUUCAGCUUGCCUCUUAAAAACUGCCAGGAAACCCAAAAAAUCACCGAUUCAACUAAAAAAACAAAGCCUACAAUUUCUACCCAAAAAAAACGACCCAAUUUUUUACCCCACCCAACCAAUCUGUUGCCCUAACCCCCAUACACCGACUUUCCCCAAAACAGAACGUCCCUUUAACUUUUUGCUUUGACAGAAAAAGUGAGAACAGAACUACCUACAGCUCCAGUGUGCCCUGCUGCCUUGAGUGUCUUCACAAAGCAACGUUGAUUAGAGGACUGCGUUGGGAAAUCAACACCAUCAACACACACAAUAAUUUACUAUAGUUUUAAAAUUACAUAAUUUCCUAUAGUCUUUUAGACUGCUUAUAAUAGAUAAUACACAUUACAGUACUUUUAAAAGUCAUUAAUAUAUCAGUAAAAAAAAAAUUGUUUUUGAAGUUCAUCUUUGAAACGUAUUACAUUUAUAUCUGAGUCUUUUCACAUUUGCUUAUACUCUACUAAUUAAUUGCAUUAGUUAUAUUGCCUUUGGUUAUCAUUUCUGUACAAUAUUGGGGUUAACAGUUCAACAGUUCCAUUGCUAUAGUCUUGUGUGUUUGUAUAUCUAAUUUCUUGACUGUUUUAACGGUGAAAUUUUAGUACAGUACUUUAAUAUAUCAGUAAAAUAUUCUAAGUUUGACUGUUGUUGUAACUGCUAUUUGAAUAGACUACAUUUAAAGGUCAUUAAAAUAUUUUGGUUUGCCAAGUUCCUCUUUGAAUCUUACCACAUUGUAACAUUUACCUUUAUUAAUUGGUUGCAUUUCUGAUAUUGCUUUUGGUUAACAUUUUUGUACAAUAUUGGGGUUGACAGUGUUUGACAGUAUAACAGUUCAAUUGCUAUAGUUUUGUGUGUUUGUAUAUUUAAUUUGUUGACUUGUUACUAAAAUUUCAGUCCUGUACUUUAAAAGCUAAUUAAUAUAUCAGUAUUAUAUUUACAGUUUGACUCUUGUUGUAAUUGUUAUUUGAGUGCAGUACAUUUAAAGGUAAUUAAAAUAUCAGUAAAGUAUUUUGGUUUGGCAAGUUCAUAUUUGAAUCUUACCACGUUGUAACAUUUGCCUUUACUAAUUGGUUGCAUUACUGGCAUUGCCUUUAGUUAACAUUUUAUAAUUCAGUGAAAUACAAAGGCUUGACGGUAUAACAGUUACAUUGUGUGUAUGUAAAUACAGUAGGUUGACACUUGUUACCGUGGUAUACUAGCAUAACGUAUAAUAAGCAUUAAUAUUCAUUGAGUGGGUCUUUGUAUUUGUUAUUAAGGUUUUAUCCGGAAAAUUUGCACUUGUUUAACAUACGAAAGGUACUUUGCUAUAAACAGAUCUUUAGAUUUCUAACACCUGUUCCAUCGUCAUGCCACGUAAAGGUAAACGAAGUGAAGCCCAGAAGCAGCGCAGAAAGGUAGAAGCUUCACUGUGCAUUAACUCCGUGUCAAGUGCGAGUGACGUAAGCCCAGACGUGCUCUCUGUUACGGCGUCCCACUGUCAAAGUGACCCGAGGUACGGUAUUUAUUCGAGGGGGCAACAAUGCACGUGCAAUUCCUUAAUGUUUCUCGCGGUGCACAACGAACGUAAUGAGCUGACCAGUUUGGAAUUAGAUGACAUUUUAAAGAAAGGUGAUGCUUUGUACACUCUUGUCAAGCAAACACUACAGAGUAAAGGACAAUUUCGGAGUAAUUUCCUUGAUUUUGAUGAGCUACCGGAUAAACUUGAGACAAACUUGUGCUCUUACAACAUCAUUAAACAUGGCCAGAAGUUUGGAUUACUAAGAGAUGCACCUGCACUAGGCAGCUAUGACAACCUCGAGAAUACUCUGCAAUGUUUCAGAAGUGAAAUCAGCAACUGCCUGUUUUUGUGUGGACUUUAUUGUGUUGCUUUGUUUAGAGAUCGCUCAGGGAGGUUUGGAUUUUUUGAUUCACACUGCAGAACACCAGAUGGCAUGUCUACUAAUGAUGGCACGGGUACUGCUGUAAUGUUGACAUUUUCACGUUUAGAAGACAUGAUAGAGAGACUGUUGCUGUUGUUUCAAGGGUGUUUCCAGUUAAGCGAUAACGUGCAAUUUGAUCUGCUGCCAGUAUCAUUCACAAGCACAACAGUAUGUACUGAUGUCUCCAUGGAGUAUCUUGAUAACAUAGAGCCGUGUGUAGCAUCUCAAUUUCUGUCCACUAAUGACCAAUGUGCAUCGUCACAACAGCAAAUUCAGGUCCGAAAUCCAGUUCAGUGUCCAGUCAACAUAACAGAUGAAGAUGAAAUGGAGAUUCAAACUACUGUAACUGACAAUUUGGACAGAGACAAAAAUGUUCAAUUAAAUAAACUUUCUCAUAACAUCUCAAAAGAUUCCUCAAUUCAAAUUAUAUUGUCAGAUCCAAAUGAUCACUGUUUGGAAACAUCCGACUUAAAUCAACAAUCAAAAAAGCUUAACAAAUCCAGAAGGCGCAAGGAUUACAAGAUAAAAUGGCACAAAAAAAUGAAUUUAAACAAAAAAGCCAUGAUAAACAACUAUAAAAAAUCUGAAGAAUAUAAGAAUAAAAAAAGAAUUUAUGCU
This is a long non-coding RNA of Paramisgurnus dabryanus, 2849 nucleotides long. RefSeq lists it as uncharacterized. Lineage: Eukaryota; Metazoa; Chordata; Actinopteri; Cypriniformes; Cobitidae. The record is from RefSeq and is a predicted model, not a curated record.